UACGUAGGUGGCAAGCGUUGUCCGGAAUUAUUGGGCGUAAAGCGCGCGCAGGUGGUUUCUUAAGUCUGAUGUGAAAGCCCACGGCUCAACCGUGGAGGGUCAUUGGAAACUGGGGAACUUGAGUGCAGGAGAGAAGAGUGGAAUUCCACGUGUAGCGGUGAAAUGCGUAGAUAUCGUAAGGAAGACCAGUGGCGAAGGCGAGUCUCUGGACAGCAACUGACGCUGAGGCACGAAGGCCAGGGGAGCAAACGGG
RNAcentral lists this ribosomal RNA (253 nucleotides) under uncultured bacterium. RNAcentral's name for it is "partial 16S ribosomal RNA". It matches the Rfam family "Bacterial small subunit ribosomal RNA", at positions 524 to 776 of the family's 1533-position model. The record is from RNAcentral.